GACGAACGCUGGCGGCGUGCCUAAUACAUGCGAGUUGAGCGCUGAAGGUUGGUACUUGUACCAACUGGAUGAGCAGCGAACGGGUGAGUAACGCGUGGGGAAUCUGCCUUUGAGCGGGGGACAGCAUUUGGAAACGAAUGCUAAUACCGCAUAAAAACUUUAAACACAAGUUUUAAGUUUGAAAGAUGCAAUUGCAUCACUCAAAGAUGAUCCCGCGUUGUAUUAGCUAGUUGGUGAGGUAAAGGCUCACCAAGGCGAUGAUACAUAGCCGACCUGAGAGGGUGAUCGGCCACAUUGGGACUGAGACACGGCCCAAACUCCUACGGGAGGCAGCAGUAGGGAAUCUUCGGCAAUGGACGAAAGUCUGACCGAGCAACGCCGCGUGAGUGAAGAAGGGUUUCGGAUCGUAAAACUCUGUUGGUAGAGAAGAACGUUGGUGAGAGUGGAAAGCUCAUCAAGUGACGGUAACUACCCAGAAAGGGACGGCUAACUACGUG
This 497-nucleotide ribosomal RNA is filed under the name uncultured bacterium. RNAcentral describes it as "partial 16S ribosomal RNA". It matches the Rfam family "Bacterial small subunit ribosomal RNA", at positions 28 to 507 of the family's 1533-position model. The record is from RNAcentral.